UACGUAGGGUGCAAGCGUUGUCCGGAAUUAUUGGGCGUAAAGAGCUCGUAGGCGGUCUGUCGCGUCUGGUGUGAAAAUCCAGGGCUUAACCCUGGACCUGCAUCGGGUACGGGCAGACUAGAGUGCGGUAGGGGAGAUCGGAAUUCCUGGUGUAGCGGUGAAAUGCGCAGAUAUCAGGAGGAACACCGAUGGCGAAGGCAGGUCUCUGGGCCAUAACUGACGCUGAGAAGCGAAAGCAUGGGGAGCGAACAGG
This 253-nucleotide ribosomal RNA is filed under the name uncultured bacterium. RNAcentral describes it as "partial 16S ribosomal RNA". It matches the Rfam family "Bacterial small subunit ribosomal RNA", at positions 524 to 776 of the family's 1533-position model. The record is from RNAcentral.